AUUGAACGCUGGCGGCAUGCCUUACACAUGCAAGUCGAGCGCGAAAGGGGGCAACCCCGAGUAGAGCGGCGGACGGGUGAGUAACACAUCGGAACGUGCCCAGUAGUGGGGGACAACCUCGAGAAAUCGAGGCUAAUACCGCAUACGACCCACGGGUGAAAGCGGGGGACCGCAAGGCCUCGCGCUAUUGGAGCGGCCGAUGUCCGAUUAGCUAGUUGGCGGGGUAANAGCCCACCAAGGCGACGAUCGGUAGCUGGUCUGAGAGGACGACCAGCCACACUGGGACUGAGACACGGCCCAGACUCCUACGGGAGGCAGCAGUGGGGAAUUUUGGACAAUGGGGGCAACCCUGAUCCA
This 357-nucleotide ribosomal RNA is filed under the name uncultured bacterium. RNAcentral describes it as "bacterial SSU rRNA". It matches the Rfam family "Bacterial small subunit ribosomal RNA", at positions 29 to 390 of the family's 1533-position model. The record is from RNAcentral.